RNAcentral lists this ribosomal RNA (468 nucleotides) under uncultured bacterium. Its description in RNAcentral is "partial 16S ribosomal RNA". It matches the Rfam family "Bacterial small subunit ribosomal RNA", at positions 28 to 507 of the family's 1533-position model. The record is from RNAcentral.
GACGAACGCUGGCGGCGUGCUUAACACAUGCAAGUCGAACGGAAAGUCCCUGCUUUUGUGGGGUGCUCGAGUUGCGAACUGGUGAGUAACACUUGAGUAACCUGCCCUUGACUUUGGGAUAACUUCAUGAAACUUGGUCUAUUACCGGAUAGGAUUUCCUGCUGCAUGGUGGGGCUUGGAUAGUUUCGGCGGUUGGGUAUGUACUCGCGGCUUAUCAGAUUGUUGGUGGGGUAGUGGAUUACCAAGGCUUUGACGGGUAGCCGGCCUGCGAGGGUGACCGGCCAAGUUGGGACUGAGAUACGGCACAGACUAAUACGGGAGGCAGCAGUGGAGAAUAUUGCACAAUGGGAGGAAGCAUGAUGCAGUCAAGCAGCGUGCGGGGUGACGGCCUUCGGGUUGUAAAGCGAUUUCGCUUGUGACGAAGCGUGAGUGACGGUAAUGGGUAAAGAAGCACCGGCUAACUACGUG